GUCCCUGUUGCGGGCGGGGCCAGCGUUGUCACUGCCGCUGGGGGCAGCACGUAUUGCUGGAUAAAAACAAAUAGAUAAAAACAAAAAACUGCGGAUGCUGGAAAUCCAAAACAAAAACAGAAUUACCUGGAAAAACUCAGGCCUGGCAGCAUCGGCGGAGAAGAAAAGAGUUGACGUUUCGAGUCCUCAUGACCCUUCAACAGAACUGAGCGAAUAUAAGGAGAGAGGUUGAUAAGUUGCAGCUUGUGGAAGAGCAAAGCCAGGAAGAAUCAGAGGUCAGCAGCUGUGCGUUGCACAGUGGCACCACCGGAGAGGCGAUGGCUGCUGUCAGUAAUGCACCCACCCGAGGCCUAGGGUCGCCAUGACCUCCAACUGGUACACUCAGCUGCAGGAUGUGCCAUGGCUGUCAUUCAUGUUGAUCUCUGCCCCGUUGUUGUGCAUUGAAAGAGAACAAUGGAAGGCUAUUAGCAAAUGGUAAUUUUUCAGCAUCCAUUUGGCUCAAACUAUAGAACCUGAAGCUUUCCUUGGACUAUCAGUCCGUGCUGUUCCCGUCCUGGGGAAAGUGAAUGGCCACCACGUUGAAAGAAGGCCAUGGAAAUUUUAGAAGAAGCAAAAGCUUAAAAACCCUGUUAAAUGAAGAGAGCACUGGAUAUUAUCGAAUACUCCUGUUUUGCAAUGUGGCAGGGCAGAGUAACGUAAAGCACGGGUAAAAUAUGACUAUGUAAAGAAGAUUUAUAGUUCAUGUGUUCUAAUAGAGAGUUAAGGUUCACUGAAAAAUACAGCUAAACUGGAUUUAUGCAGCAUUAUGUUAAAACUAAUAAAACUUCUAUUCGAGAAAAGCUGAGAGACUCAAAAAUUGGUAGUUUAUAAAAUAUUUGCCCAAAGUGGCUUUUUAGUUCAAUACUGUAGAGGGCUGCGACUUAUAGGCCUUUGCCUCAGAAGGGAAAAAGUCCAAAUUGCGCUUAAUCCCAGUAACACCAUUCAUGGUUCCCACUGAUGGAGACCAGACAUUUCCUGAUUGAUGGAUCCAAACAAAAGCACAUUUAAUCCAUACAAGUUCACAAAAUGUCCCAACCAAUAUAACAAAGUAGUUUGUAGGAUAAAAGCGAGUUGGAGGUUCUGCAAGAAUAAAGAACAUUAUGCAAAAACUCUGCAACACUGAUGUAGUGUUUCACAUUAUAAUUAAUUUGGUAUCUGCUAUAAAUGUGACAUUUCUAAAGUUUUAGUUAUAUAUUAUAGAUUUGGGAAAAGCAACAUAUAAAAUUGUUUGAAUUCUGUGUUCUAAUCUUUUUAUUUCAAUGUAUUUUAGUUAGCUAUGGUAACAACUUGAGUACAAUACUAUUUUUGUUACAAAUAUGAGGCUUUAUAACAUUGUUAUAUCUUGGGACUAUAUCUUUAAUUUAUGGUGAAAUGAAGAGGGUUAUGUGACCCGUUCUGAAGUCUGCCUGACAACGGGCCUGCGUGAUGCGAUUGUUAAAGAUUAACGGAAGGCCUGGGUUGUUUGCUGGAAAGAAAGUGUAAGGUGUUCACAUUAGGAGACAAUGACAGCAUCUGCAUUUGCAGUGGUUAGACUGCUAGUCUCCAAAGUCUCAGGGAGGUGUUGAGGAUGUUGGGCUGUAAACAACUAUGCUUCAAACUAUCUAUUUACUUACAAGAUAAAAAGCACUUGGGGUUGCAAGGAUAGCUAUUUAGCAUUUCUACCUGGAUACCAGGCCCAUGUGAUUCAUGUUACCUUGGAGAUGGGCUUUGAGAGGGGAAGCCCAAAACUCAGAGAUACAGGAAGUCUGCCAGAAUCUGGGAGAGAGAGAGAGCAGUUAGAGGCCAGAAGUCUCUAUGUUUUAUUUCGCAGGAAUGCAGGUGGGAGCUUGUGCUCAGAGGCGCUAUUGAGAGCUGCAAUCGCACCGCAACUUCCAGCGUUCGCACUUGCAUCGAAAACUAGAUGUUACUGUGUGCCUCAAUGGGCUUAAAAGGGACAGGGAACUCAGGAACUCGGCCUGAUUGCCCGGAAAUUACAUUUGUUUUUAUGGAGAUUUUUUCUUUAAGGUUUAUAAGCAGGUGCAGAACCUGCUCCGGAGCACAUUCCUUUAAACACGAACCAACAAGGAGUUAAAACACUCCUACUCCUUGUGAGUUCCUUAGAAAAGGAAUAUGACAGAAUCUGCGUUGGAAAUCAUUGCUGUUGCGGUUCAAUGAAUACAUGCCUCCCCUCCUCACCCUGACAUAUUGGACCCUUAGCUGCCUAUUUUAUAUCUGCAAGACAGGAGCAGCUCGAUCUAAUUUCAAUUGUAGGCCCACAUAUUUAAUUGAAUUUCAAAAGUUCUUAAAAGAAGGAAAGUACAGAAUUAUAAAAGGAUGAGUAAUGUAACAUUAAAGCAUUACUUAGAAGAUGCAAGCCUGAUUGCUUUCACCCUAACAUUCACAUCUGAAGGAAUAAAUGUGGUGCAGCAAGUGAACAAAGCAGGACCACAGUACAGGAUGUACUAGCUGCCAAGUGUCACACCCAACUUUGAAAUAGCCAGCCUCACAAACCUGUCUGUACACCUAAAUGACUGGUAUUGUACCAGCUUUUCAAACUCCUCCAGAAUGUUCCAUUAAAUUAUUAUUGAAAAGCAAUGUGAAAUGAUGCUAGCA
This is a long non-coding RNA of Carcharodon carcharias (great white shark), 2631 nucleotides long. RefSeq lists it as uncharacterized. NCBI's taxonomy places the organism in Eukaryota, Metazoa, Chordata, Chondrichthyes, Lamniformes, Lamnidae. The transcript has 4 exons. The record is from RefSeq and is a predicted model, not a curated record.